This 347-nucleotide ribosomal RNA is filed under the name uncultured bacterium. RNAcentral's name for it is "partial 16S ribosomal RNA". It matches the Rfam family "Bacterial small subunit ribosomal RNA", at positions 338 to 683 of the family's 1533-position model. The record is from RNAcentral.
CCUACGGGAGGCAGCAGUGAGGAAUAUUGGUCAAUGGCCGGAAGGCUGAACCAGCCAAGCCGCGUGAAGGACGAAGGUGCCAAGCAUUGUAAACUUCUUUUGUUAAGGGACAAAAUCAGGCUCGAGAGCCUGAUCGAGGGUACUUGAAGAAAAAGCAUCGGCUAACUCCGUGCCAGCAGCCGCGGUAAUACGGAGGAUGCGAGCGUUAUCCGGAUUUAUUGGGUUUAAAGGGUGCGUAGGCGGACUGUUAAGUCAGCGGUAAAAGCGCGGGGGUCAACCCCGGCGAACCGUUGAAACUGGCUGUCUUGAGGUGUAGAGAGGUGUGCGGAGUGCGCAGUGGAGCGGUG